This 425-nucleotide ribosomal RNA is filed under the name uncultured delta proteobacterium. RNAcentral's name for it is "bacterial SSU rRNA". It matches the Rfam family "Bacterial small subunit ribosomal RNA", at positions 958 to 1385 of the family's 1533-position model. The record is from RNAcentral. Lineage: Bacteria; Deltaproteobacteria. RNAcentral also lists the same sequence under 1 other name.
AACGCGAAGAACCUUACCGAGGCUUGACAUCCCUUGAAAUCCGUAGAAAUACGGCUUCCGUAGCAAUACGGCAAGGAGACAGGUGCUGCAUGGCUGUCGUCAGCUCGUGCCGUGAGGUGUUGGGUUAAGUCCCGCAACGAGCGCAACCCUCGCCGUGUGUUGGUCCGCAAGGAUCUCUCACGCGGGACCGCCGGUGAGAAGCCGGAGGAAGGUGGGGAUGACGUCAAGUCAGCAUGGCCCUUACGUCUCGGGCUACACACGUGCUACAAUGGGUGCGACAACGAGUUCCAAGCUCGCGAGGGUAAGGCAAUCUCUUAAACGCAUCCUCAGUUCGGAUUGAAGGCUGCAACUCGCCUUCAUGAAGUCGGAAUCGCUAGUAAACGCAGAUCAGCUACGCUGCGUUGAAUACGUUCCCGGGCCUUGUA